RNAcentral lists this ribosomal RNA (479 nucleotides) under uncultured Roseateles sp. RNAcentral describes it as "bacterial SSU rRNA". It matches the Rfam family "Bacterial small subunit ribosomal RNA", at positions 969 to 1452 of the family's 1533-position model. Lineage: Bacteria; Pseudomonadati; Pseudomonadota; Betaproteobacteria; Burkholderiales; Sphaerotilaceae. The record is from RNAcentral.
CCUUACCUACCCUUGACAUGUCUGGAAUCCUGAAGAGAUUUGGGAGUGCUCGAAAGAGAGCCAGAACACAGGUGCUGCAUGGCCGUCGUCAGCUCGUGUCGUGAGAUGUUGGGUUAAGUCCCGCAACGAGCGCAACCCUUGUCAUUAGUUGCUACGAAAGGGCACUCUAAUGAGACUGCCGGUGACAAACCGGAGGAAGGUGGGGAUGACGUCAGGUCAUCAUGGCCCUUAUGGGUAGGGCUACACACGUCAUACAAUGGCCGGGACAGAGGGCUGCCAACCCGCGAGGGGGAGCUAAUCCCAGAAACCCGGUCGUAGUCCGGAUCGUAGUCUGCAACUCGACUGCGUGAAGUCGGAAUCGCUAGUAAUCGCGGAUCAGCUUGCCGCGGUGAAUACGUUCCCGGGUCUUGUACACACCGCCCGUCACACCAUGGGAGCGGGUUCUGCCAGAAGUAGUUAGCCUAACCGCAAGGGGGACG